RNAcentral lists this ribosomal RNA (511 nucleotides) under uncultured bacterium. RNAcentral describes it as "bacterial SSU rRNA". It matches the Rfam family "Bacterial small subunit ribosomal RNA", at positions 903 to 1397 of the family's 1533-position model. The record is from RNAcentral.
AAAGGAAUAGACGGGGAUCCGCACAAGUGGUGGAGCAUGUGGUUUAAUUCGAUGAUAAGCGAGAAACCUCACCAGGGCUAGAAACUUAGCUGCAUGUUGUAGAAAUACAACAGCCUUCGAGGGUGCUAAGCAGGUGAUGCAUGGUCGUCGUCAGCUCGUGCCGUAAGGUGUUCCUUUAAGUAGGGAAACGAGCGCAACCCUUGUCGCGUGUUAUAUAUGUCACGCGAAACUGCCCAGCCUUGAACAUAGGAAAAAAACUUUCGUAUGGUCAAGGCUGGGAGGAAGGAGAGGAUGACGUCAGAUCAGCAUGUCCCUUGACGCCCUGGGCGACACACGUGCUACAAUGGCUGGGAUAAAGGGUAGCCAAAUCGCGAGAUGGAGCCAAUCCCAAAAACUCAGUCUCAGUUCGGAUUGGAGUCUGCAACUCGACUCCAUGAAGCCGGAAUCACUAGUAAUCGUGAAUCAGAACGUCACGGUGAAUACGUUCUCGGAUCUUGUACACACCGCCCGU